RNAcentral lists this ribosomal RNA (190 nucleotides) under uncultured Staphylococcus sp. RNAcentral's name for it is "partial 16S ribosomal RNA". It matches the Rfam family "Bacterial small subunit ribosomal RNA", at positions 150 to 334 of the family's 1533-position model. The record is from RNAcentral. Lineage: Bacteria; Bacillati; Bacillota; Bacilli; Caryophanales; Staphylococcaceae.
CGGGAAACCGGGGCUAAUACCGGAUAAUACAUGAAACCGCAUGGUUUCAUGAUGAAAGACGGUUUUGCUGUCACUUAUAGAUGGACCCGCGGCGUAUUAGCUAGUUGGUAAGGUAACGGCUUACCAAGGCAACGAUACGUAGCCUACCUUAGAGGGUGAUCGGCCACACUGGAACUGAGACACGGUCCAG